CCUAUAUGUCAAUGACUUGCUGGAGUGUAUGGAACUCUGCCUGGGGAAAGAUGGAGAAGCCAGCCAAGAGCAUGUUGAAGAACAAAUUCAACAGAAAGACAGGAUAUUAGGAGACAUCUGAGUACCCAUGAGUAUUACAGAAUCAUCCAACAGAGGCAAUCCCUGAGGCUCAGAUCAGGAUGCAGCUCAUUGAUCUAAGAGAGCAAUGCCCUACAUGGGCAGUGGCUAAAACAAACUGACCAGUGGCAGAGUCCUGUAUUAAUAUUGUUACUCUUUGUUUUCAUUCUUUUUCUCAAA
This is a long non-coding RNA of Pipra filicauda (Wire-tailed manakin), 297 nucleotides long. RefSeq lists it as uncharacterized. The record is from RefSeq and is a predicted model, not a curated record. Lineage: Eukaryota; Metazoa; Chordata; Aves; Passeriformes; Pipridae. The transcript is spliced from 3 exons.